CAGAGGAAGAAAUUAUAAAGAAGCCAUUAGAGUGAAGCAAAACAAAGGAGGGAUUGUAGUGCGACUGAGUGAGUCCACUGACUGAGAGGAGGAGAAACCUUUUCCUAGCUGAUCUGCCAGCACACUGGAGGUGCUGAGUGCAAGUGAAGAGCUUGUGGCUCGGAGCGAAUGAUCAAAAAGAAGCCCCGGCUUUCUGAGAAAAUUAUACAUGGCUGUGUGCAUGCCCCCUGCUGAGACUCAUUCAGGGUCGCUGGGGGCUGGAGCCUAUCCUGGAGCUGAGCAAGGGAUACUGCAAAUCUUGGUAUCAAAUCGAUACAAGCAAAAUAUAGGGCCAGUGUUGGCGAUAUCAACACCGAUACUGAUAUAUGAGAUCUGGAAUGUAAAUUUGUCUGACUCAGCUUCUGUUGUGUAAAUGUGCUGGAGGCUAUAAAUAAAAUAGAAAUGACAGUCAAAAUGUUUGAGGUGUUGAUCAUAUCGCGUUAGUAUCAAUCCGAUACCAAUACCAGCCUUGAUAUUGAUCUGCUAUUUCAAUCCACUUAAGCAGUGUUAUUCUGGGGUUUCUGCUGAAAGGGGUGGCUUGGCAGCACAUGUGAGUGUAUCAGCAGUAACGAAGCUAAUUUAGAUAAAACUAUAAUGUUAGAAAAAUAUGAUGAGGUUACACAUAACGCUGAGUGAAAGUAACACAGCUGCUGCAGAUAAAUCAGCCGUGUGAGAUGCGCUGAUCAAUAUUUUAGUGUUAAAGCACUGUAUGACUGUGUGUGCGCUUUAAACAUUCUGCUUAGUCAGACUAGAAGUCUGAUUUGAAGGCAGGAAGGAAGGCUGGCAAAGAUGCUAACUGCCUCGCUCAUCAAUAUCACAGCUUUAUUUAGACAUGGGAUGAUCUGAUAGGCUAUAACGGAGUAUUCCACUAAAUUGCUGUUCAAUAUUUGCAUUAGACAGUUUAGCUUAUUAUUAUUAUUUUAGCUGCAGCCCAGAUGGUGUUUCAUGGUCUGAGAGCAAGUACAGAAUAAAUACAAAAAUAGAAUUUAAAGUUUAACCUACAUGUGAGUACAAAUGAGUGUCCCAGAUUUUAUAUCAAUGUGUACAGAACAACAAACCUGUUGUAAAAUUGUUUGCAUCCAAAAUAUAAAUAAACAUGUAAAGUUGUGUCUAAGAAUCUGUAUUUAUUGCUGCUGCUCAUUCGAGAAACCCAUUCCUGCUUUGGAAGAUCGUCAGUCAGUCACAGGACUAACAUUCAUGCCUACGGCCCCCUAACCCCACACAUGUCUUUGGAGUAUGGGAGAACCCACGCAGACACUGGGAGAGCAUGCACGCUCCACAGACAGAAGUAGAACCCAGACAGAUGACUGUUCUGACAGUUCAGUUAUUUCCUGUGUUAUUUUGAAAAGUUACCAUGUGGACUUCUAAUGUCUGGGUGCGUUACGUAUGCAUGUGUGUGUGUGUGUGUGUGUGUGUGUGUGUGUGUGUGUGUGUGUGUGUGUGU
Molecule: long non-coding RNA, 1483 nt
Organism: Astatotilapia calliptera (eastern happy)
Lineage: Eukaryota; Metazoa; Chordata; Actinopteri; Cichliformes; Cichlidae
Source: Ensembl